UUUUUACUAACCCUAUUCCUAAUCACUAUUUUCCCCACAUUUUCUAAAAAUACCAACUUCAUUCAUUUUUCACCCAUUUUUUAGAAUUCCUUACCUCUCCUCCCUCACACAAAAACCAACAUCACUCCCAACUUGCAGUCCACCGUCGUCGUCGUCGUCGUCGCCCAAACGUUCUCUUUGUCGCCAACCUACGUUCCUCCACGUCGGCCGUGUAGCUUCUCUUCGCCACCCAGCUUCCUCAUCACUGGCUCAGAUACCAAGCAUCUCUUUCUCUUAAAACUCAAAGGUAAAAUUUUGCUAAUAACUCAUUUGUUUCAUUACAAUUGUUGCCUUGAUUUUGUUGUUUAAAUUGUAUCAUCUUUAAUGAUUGCGAAGAUUUCUCUUUCGUACUUUUGUAGUUUGGUUGUGGAAGUGUUAAUUAAAUGGUUUUGAAUUCUGUGUAAGAUGGUGGAAAGAGUUUGUGUGGGUGUGGAGGAGAAAUCUAAAAUGAGUUGUGAGGUUGAGAAGUUUAAAAAAUAAAAAAUCAUUUCGUGGUAUAUGCUUCAACAAGAAUGAGAGAACUUUUUUGAAAUUUUGUUUUAUUAUGAGAUUCUUACAUUUGAGGAUUAAAGGAACGAUAUGUAUACAUGGUUUUCAAAUUUCAAAUUUUACUAUUAUAUUAAUAGAACAGUUUUAGGUUUGUUGUAAAUUUGAAAGUUUCUAUUACCGAUUUGUAAGUUGUUUCAAUAGUUAAAAUGUCACCUUUAGAGUUUUUGUUCGUAAAUUGUAGUUGGUUUUGAGUUUAAAAGUUAAAAUUAAUAACUUCCUUGGGUACUCUUUAGGUUAGUUUAAGAGUAAAAUGUUUCACUUAUACAUUUUAAAGUUAUCUUGAGAUUUGAUCCACACUUUCAAACUUUUAGUAAACUUUGUAGGUUGGUUGAGUUUUGAAGUCACACUUAAGUAGUUUUAACUUGUUUUGAGAGUUGAAUUGUCAUUUAGACACUUUUAAGAGUUUUUGUAGUUAAUUUUGAGUUUUAAAGUCACACUUAGACAUUCAGAACUUGUUUUGAGAGUUAAGACACUUUUUAGGUGAUUUUUAGUUUGAAAGUCACACUUAGAUAUAUAACUUUAACUUGUUUUAAGAGUUAUAGUGCCACCUUGACACUUUGCAGAGAUUGUGUUAGGUUUAAUGUUUUGAUGGCACACUUAGACAUUUAUAAGUUGUUUUGAGAGUUAAAACACUUUCUAAAUGAAUUUUAUUUCAAAGUCACAUUUAUGUAGUAAUUUUAACUUGUUUUGAGAGUUAAAAUGUUACUUAGUCAAAGUCACUUGUGAUGGUUGAUUUUAAACAACAAAAUUUUUAUGUUUUUUCUUCUUUGUUAGAAGUGCAUGCAUUGCAUGGACUAUAUGGACAUUAUAUACCAAUAUGUUCUACGCGUCUCACUAAUAAGAAUGACUUGAUAGCAAUUCACCAUCUUCAACAUUGUAUCAAAUGAACACUAGGGAAAAGUAUAUUUUUUAACAUUCACCAUUUUUUUUCAAAUUCAUACUCUUACCGAUGUUGAUUGAGGUUGUCCUUUGGUUGUUUAGCUACCGCUUAUCGCAUACUUCUUGGUGAUUAUCACUAUAUAUUUCUUGUCCUAUAGCUUUUGUAGAGUAUCAUUACAAAUUUGCAAGUAUAUUUUCCUUCACUUGUGCUUGUUUCUCGUGAUAAUCUAGUUGUGCAUACGGUUCCUAGUCCAACUUUUUAUGAUUAGGAUACUAAACAAAAAUAAAUUAGGUGACAGUUGGUCAUUAGCUGCUGUUGCCUAAUUUCUUUACAAAUUUAAAAGGUCUUGGCUUCUCCUAAUUUUUUCUUUCUUUAUUGUCGAGCUUGGGGAAUUCGCAAUAUUCAUUGUGCAACUUCACUGGUAGUAUUACGUUAUUUGAAGAUUUUGUCUUUUUAUACACAAAAUAUGUUGAUUUGUUGAGUUGUUACAUGUAGUUAUUUUUAGUCGUUACAUUACACAUGAAUAUAAAGCUUGUUGUACUCCACACUUGGUGAGAUGAAACAAAAU
RNAcentral lists this long non-coding RNA (2036 nucleotides) under Cucumis sativus (cucumber). RNAcentral describes it as "long non-coding RNA (CSAT_LNC000431)". The record is from RNAcentral. Lineage: Eukaryota; Viridiplantae; Streptophyta; Magnoliopsida; Cucurbitales; Cucurbitaceae.